UAGUGAUUAGAGUUUGAUCCUGGCUCAGGAUGAACGCUAGCGGCAGGCUUAACACAUGCAAGUCGAGGGGUAACGGGGAAGCUUGCUUCCGCCGACGACCGGCGCACGGGUGCGUAACGCGUAUACAAUCUACCUUGUACUGGGGUAUAGCCUUUAGAAAUGAAGAUUAACCCCCCAUAGUCUCUUAGAGUGGCAUCACUUCUAGAGUAAAGGUUACGGUAUAAGAUGAGUAUGCGUUCUAUUAGUUUGUUGGUGUGGUAACGGCACACCAAGACUACGAUAGGUAGGGGCCCUGAGAGGGGGAUCCCCCACACUGGUACUGAGACACGGACCAGACUCCUACGGGAGGCAGCAGUGAGGAAUAUUGGACAAUGGAGGCAACUCUGAUCCAGCCAUGCCGCGUGCAGGAAGACUGCCCUAUGGGUUGUAAACUGCUUUUAUACAGGAAGAAACACCUCUACGUGUAGAGGCUUGACGGUACUGUAAGAAUAAGGAUCGGCUAACUCCGUGCCAGCAGCCGCGGUAAUACGGAGGAUCCAAGCGUUAUCCGGAAUCAUUGGGUUUAAAGGGUCCGUAGGUGGAUAAUUAAGUCAGAGGUGAAAUCUUGCAGCUCAACUGUAAAAUUGCCUUUGAAACUGGUUAUCUUGAGUUAUUAUGAAGUAGUUAGAAUAUGUAGUGUAGCGGUGAAAUGCAUAGAUAUUACAUAGAAUACCAAUUGCGAAGGCAGAUUACUAAUAAUCAACUGACACUGAUGGACGAAAGCGUGGGUAGCGAACAGGAUUAGAUACCCUGGUAGUCCACGCCGUAAACGAUGGUUACUAGCUGUUUGGACUUCGGUCUGAGUGGCUAAGCGAAAGUGAUAAGUAACCCCACCUGGGGAGUACGUUCGCAAGAAUGAAACUCAAAGGAAUUGACGGGGGCCCGCACAAGCGGUGGAGCAUGUGGUUUAAUUCGAUGAUACGCGAGGAACCUUACCAGGGCUUAAAUGUAAGUUGCAUUAGUUAGAGAUAGCUAUUUCUUCGGACCACUUACAAGGUGCUGCAUGGUUGUCGUCAGCUCGUGCCGUGAGGUGUCAGGUUAAGUCCUAUAACGAGCGCAACCCCUGUUGUUAGUUGCCAGCGAGUCAUGUCGGGAACUCUAGCAAGACUGCCAGUGCAAACUGUGAGGAAGGUGGGGAUGACGUCAAAUCAUCACGGCCCUUACGUCCUGGGCUACACACGUGCUACAAUGGUAGGUACAGAGAGCAGCCACUGCGCGAGCAGGAGCGAAUCUAUAAAACCUAUCACAGUUCGGAUCGGAGUCUGCAACUCGACUCCGUGAAGCUGGAAUCGCUAGUAAUCGGAUAUCAGCCAUGAUCCGGUGAAUACGUUCCCGGGCCUUGUACACACCGCCCGUCAAGCCAUGGAAGUUGGAAGUGCCUGAAGUCCGUCACCGUAAGGAGCGGCCUAGGGUAAAGUCGAUAACUAGGGCUAAGUCGUAACAAGGUAAAUCGAAUUCCCGCGGCCGCCAUGGCGGCCGGGAGCAUGCGACGUCGGGCCCAAUCGCC
RNAcentral lists this ribosomal RNA (1546 nucleotides) under uncultured Flavobacteriia bacterium. RNAcentral's name for it is "bacterial SSU rRNA". It matches the Rfam family "Bacterial small subunit ribosomal RNA". The record is from RNAcentral. Lineage: Bacteria; Pseudomonadati; Bacteroidota; Flavobacteriia.